RNAcentral lists this ribosomal RNA (496 nucleotides) under uncultured bacterium. RNAcentral describes it as "partial 16S ribosomal RNA". It matches the Rfam family "Bacterial small subunit ribosomal RNA", at positions 28 to 507 of the family's 1533-position model. The record is from RNAcentral.
GACGAACGCUGGCGGCGUGCCUAAUACAUGCAAGUUGAGCGCUGAAGGUUGGUACUUGUACCAACUGGAUGAGCAGCGAACGGGUGAGUAACGCGUGGGGAAUCUGCCUUUGAGCGGGGGACAACAUUUGGAAACGAAUGCUAAUACCGCAUAAAAACUUUAAACACAAGUUUUAAGUUUGAAAGAUGCAAUUGCAUCACUCAAAGAUGAUCCCGCGUUGUAUUAGCUGGUCGGUGAGGUAAAGGCCCACCAAGGCGAGGAUACAUAGCCGACCUGAGAGGGUGAUCGGCCACAUGGGACCGGGAACACGCCCCAAACUCCUACGGGAGGCACCAGUAGGCAACCUUCGGCAAUGGAGGAAAGUCGGACCAAACAAGGCCGCGUGGGUUAGAAGGGUUUCGGGUUCGUAAACCCCUUUUGGUGGGGAGAAACGUGGUGAGAGUGGGAAGACUCUUCAGUGACGGUAACUACCCAGAAAGGGACGGCUAACUACGUG